UUUUAUGGCCAUACCACUCCGAACAUGCCCAAUCUUGUCUGAUCUUGGAAGUUAAGCAGGGUCAGGCCUAGUUAUUACUUGGAUGGGAGACCACCUGGGAAUACCUAGUGCUGUAGGCU
Molecule: ribosomal RNA, 119 nt
Filed under: Microtus ochrogaster (prairie vole)
Lineage: Eukaryota; Metazoa; Chordata; Mammalia; Rodentia; Cricetidae
Source: RNAcentral